UACGUAGGGUGCAAGCGUUGUCCGGAAUUAUUGGGCGUAAAGGGCUCGUAGGCGGUCCAUCACGUCGGGAGUGAAAAGCUGGGGCUUAACCCCAGUCCUGCUUCCGAUACGGGUGGACUAGAGGUAGGCAGGGGAGAACGGAAUUCCUGGUGUAGCGGUGAAAUGCGUAGAUAUCAGGAGGAACACCGGUGGUGUAGACGGCUCACUGGACCGUAACUGACGCUGAAACACGAAAGCGUGGGGAGCAAACAGG
RNAcentral lists this ribosomal RNA (253 nucleotides) under uncultured bacterium. RNAcentral's name for it is "partial 16S ribosomal RNA". It matches the Rfam family "Bacterial small subunit ribosomal RNA", at positions 524 to 776 of the family's 1533-position model. The record is from RNAcentral.